RNAcentral lists this ribosomal RNA (2430 nucleotides) under Triticum aestivum (bread wheat). Its description in RNAcentral is "partial small subunit ribosomal RNA". Lineage: Eukaryota; Viridiplantae; Streptophyta; Magnoliopsida; Poales; Poaceae. The record is from RNAcentral.
AUGGCAUUUCGCCGAAUCCGCACGGCGCACUCCGCACCCAAUCCCCCGUCUCCUCAGGCCCCAUCCCCCACGGGACAAACCCUAGCCUUACAUCCCACACUACCUCCUCCUCCAUCCUCGUUAGCCGCCGCCGCCGUUCUGCCUCCCUCCUCUCUGCCCUACAACCUCGCCACCGGGAGGAAGCCUCCAUUCGUGGCGCCAUACCGCUGCCGUUGUGCUGUGCACGCUUCAUUCCCCACAGCCCCUCCCUCAUCCUUGCUCGGCACCGCCGCUGCCUGCUACUCCCCUCCACCACUGUUGCUGCUUGUGCGGGUUCGCCCUCUCCCCGCGCGGCGCGUGCGCAUCACGCCAUCUACGGGAGCGUGGGGGCAGGCCUCGCCCGCACCCCUCCGCCCUACCUCCCUCCUUGAUCUCUCUCCCUGGUCAGCCGCCACCAACCCUAGCCCCCUUUCAUACACCGACUCCUCUCUCUGCCCGUGCAGGCGGCCAUCUUCGUUCCACCCCGAGCUUCUCAUCCUCCUUCCUUGCUUCUCUACUCCCACACGAAGGAGGAAGAUGCAAAUGGCGUCGGCUUUGGGAGAUAGCUCACCCCGGCUGAACCAACUGAUCAAGAAUCAUAGAUUGAUUCUAUUACUUUGCGUCAUCAUGUCCGUGCCCAGCGGACAGGCGGAUGCACCGCCGGCCACCAAGCCGUCAACUCCGGCGGCCCCUGGACAGCCGGCCACCAAGCCAUCAACUCUGGCAACCCCUGGACAGCGAGGGUUCACACCAGCAGCCGGCGAGGUGAUUCCACAUAGUGCCGGACGAGGCAACUCCUGUAUCCAUGGAUCGCCCCAGGAUGCUCCAGAUUGGAGAACGACGGUUGCUAGCAAUGAUACAUACGUAUCAACAACAGAAGGAGGCAUUGAUUGGUCUCAGAUUGAGAUAGCACCAAUGAAUGAUGACGAAAUUGAUGUUCCUAUAACAGAAGAAAAUAUGUGCUCGGUGCUUGGAAUCAACGAUGAACCUGUGCAACGAAAAUGUGUAUCUGAAGCAGCCAUCAAAGCCUCGAUUGCAAAUGUUGAUGCAUGUAUAGUUGAUAUUAGUGAGGACUUACUUGCUGAUGCGGCUCUUCCAGAACAUCCUGUGAUAGAGGAAGGUUCUUUGUUUCGUUCGAUGAAAGAGUUUAGGAUGCUUAUGAGAACAUUUGCUAUUAGAGGAAUUGGAUGUCCUUGGCGUAUAAUUGCUAGAACGAUAGAAGAUGGCAAAACAAUCAGGGUUAACAAGAUAGUAAAGCCUCAUAAGUGUUCAUCAACCGCUAAAGUGAUUACAAGCAUGGCAGACCAAGCAUGGGUGGCAGAAAAGGCAAUUGGGUAUCUUCAAACUGAACCAAACAUUGGUGGCAUGGAGCUCCUAAUACUAUUGGGUACAAGCAGAGUACAAAUGUACUAUUGGGUGCAAACAAUGUGGAAUCUUGGGGCACAGAAAGCAACUUGUAAAAAGAAGGAAGCUAAUGAGAGAGACGUGUCUGCUCACGAGCUCGCUCCAGCUGUUGUUGCGACACCCACACGCACAACAACAAUCACAGUGCCUCCCAGCCUUCAUAACAGCCCUGGGCCUAUUUCAAGGAGCCGAAGGCAAUGCAUCACAACCAUCUGGAACAACGAAUGUUUCUGCACCAUCGCCUACUUCUCACAUCCCUUCAAGCUCUACGGCAUGCAAGAAAAAAAUUACCCCAAGGAGGAAGAAGAUGAUAAGCCGGGCAUGGUAAAUGUUGCGGAACAAGCAAAAUCAUGUCAAAUUGGGAGUUGCCACCAAAUAAGCAAGAUGAAGCUCGGCAUUUUCAUAUAUCUCAGGGGCCAUAUCAGCCAGGAAGAGCCCCCAAACACUCUAAAUAUUAAUUUAUCUUUAAGCGCCGCCAAAUGGGAGAUGACUUACAUAUUGCAUGAUCAUAUACGUAGCAGGGAGUGCCGGCGCCUGCCGGACCAGACACCACCUACGGCGGGGAGUGGCAGCUGCAACGACGAGUAUUUUGCUCGGCGAGCAAACGGCGCAAUCCGCCUAUUCCGCAACUCCAAGCUGCAGCGGAGCUACCGGACCGCCGAGAUGCAGAGGAGCCGCAGCGCAUCCGAGCUGCAGCAGGAGCCAUCCCGCGUCUCCGAGUUUAACGGGAGCCCCCGCCGCCGAGCUGCAGCGGUAGCCGCCGCCAAGAUGGGGUCCAAGUAUCCUCGUCGGCCUCCUGCAGGAUCUCACUUCAGAGCUGCCGAGGUUGUCCUCACCAAGGAAGCGGCCGACAGCGCAAGGGGGGGCUCGUCCUUACGUGGUGCUCAACCGGGGAUUGAGAUUUGGAGGGAGACUAGGGAGACCCCGGCGAAAACGAGCGUGCUAGCGGAGGCUCCGGGAAUGCAGGGUGAUAGGGCCCAGUCUAUGCUCCCGUUGUGUUGUUGGUAG